GGCGACCAUAGCGUUUUGGACCCACCUGAACCCAUUCCGAACUCAGAAGUGAAACGAAAUAGCGUCGAUGGUAGUGUGGGGUUUCCCCAUGUGAGAGUAGAACAUCGCCAGGC
Molecule: ribosomal RNA, 113 nt
Filed under: Vibrio sp. 03_296
Lineage: Bacteria; Pseudomonadati; Pseudomonadota; Gammaproteobacteria; Vibrionales; Vibrionaceae
Source: RNAcentral